GGAAGUCCGACCGAGCAACGCCGCGUGAGUGAAGAAGGUUUUCGGAUCGUAAAGCUCUGUUGUAAGAGAAGAACGAGUGUGAGAGUGGAAAGUUCACACUGUGACGGUAUCUUACCAGAAAGGGACGGCUAACUACGUGCCAGCAGCCGCGGUAAUACGUAGGUCCCGAGCGUUGUCCGGAUUUAUUGGGCGUAAAGCGAGCGCAGGCGGUUAGAUAAGUCUGAAGUUAAAGGCUGUGGCUUAACCAUAGUACGCUUUGGAAACUGUUUAACUUGAGUGCAAGAGGGGAGAGUGGAAUUCCAUGUGUAGCGGUGAAAUGCGUAGAUAUAUGGAGGAACACCGGUGGCGAAAGCGGCUCUCUGGCUUGUAACUGACGCCGAAGCUCGAAAGCGUGGGGAGCCAACAGAUAGAUACCCUGGUAGUCCACGCCGUAAACGAUGAGUGCUAGGUGUUAGACCUUCCGGGGUUUAGUGCCGCAGCUAACGCAUUAAGCACUCCGCCUGGGAGUACGACGCAAGGU
This 520-nucleotide ribosomal RNA is filed under the name Streptococcus sp. oral taxon 058. Its description in RNAcentral is "bacterial SSU rRNA". It matches the Rfam family "Bacterial small subunit ribosomal RNA", at positions 377 to 894 of the family's 1533-position model. The record is from RNAcentral. Lineage: Bacteria; Bacillati; Bacillota; Bacilli; Lactobacillales; Streptococcaceae.